GGCAGAAUAGCUCAGUUGGUUAAAGAGCAUCUCAGGCUACAAAAAUUAGAAGGUCAUGGGUUCGAAUCCUGGUUCAGCCA
Non-coding RNA from Mycena olivaceomarginata, 80 nucleotides. The record is from the annotation of a GenBank genome assembly. NCBI's taxonomy places the organism in Eukaryota, Fungi, Basidiomycota, Agaricomycetes, Agaricales, Mycenaceae.